UAUACAAACUAUUGCAUACACUUUUAUAGUGUAAGUUGCUUGAAGUAAUUAAUCUUAAGGCUUGUUGAAAAGUAAGGUUUCUGCUCAUUUACUCCAGGUUUGUCUCACGAGUUGAUGUUGUUUGACCAAAGCAAAAGGAAUACCAUGUCAGUGUGUUUGUACUGCAUUUUCAUUGUGAAUACCUCCCGGAAUAGACAAUUGUUUCACAGCAAUUCACUCUCCUUGGAGGAAGAAGCAACUUAGUGUCACAUCAGCUGAUGAAAUUAAGUUUGUUAUUCCCUGCCCAAAUCUUCCAUCUGGUAGCAAAAGCUCUACAGGGCUGGCAUUUAUCAAGAGAAGACACACAGAACAGCCUUGCAUAAAUAAUGGCACCGGUCCAAGUACAGCUGAGGUGGUUGCCAGCACAACUCCACUGAAGUCAAAGGAAUUGCACCAUGAGACCAUCAGAACUUGAAGAAAUAAGUGCCCAGAAAAACUGAAAAAAAAAAACAACCACACAGUAGCGAUCAAAUGUGAAGGAUCCCAAUGGUGAGUUUUCUUUAAAAGUAUCU
Molecule: long non-coding RNA, 551 nt
Filed under: Anas platyrhynchos platyrhynchos (common mallard)
Lineage: Eukaryota; Metazoa; Chordata; Aves; Anseriformes; Anatidae
Description: lncRNA (ENSAPLG00000029665.1)
Source: RNAcentral